Molecule: ribosomal RNA, 438 nt
Filed under: uncultured bacterium
Lineage: Bacteria
Description: bacterial SSU rRNA
Rfam family: Bacterial small subunit ribosomal RNA
Source: RNAcentral
GACGAACGCUGGCGGUGUGCUUCACACAUGCAAGUCGAACGAGGUAGCAAUACCUAGUGGCGGACGGGUGAGUAACGCGUGGGAAUCUGCCUUUAGAUGGGGGAUAACGGGUCGAAAGACUCGCUAAUACCGCAUAUGACGAAAGUUGAAAGGAGUAAUCCGUCUAAAGAUGAGCCCGCGUCCGAUUAGCUAGUUGGUAGAGUAAAAGCCUACCAAGGCGACGAUCGGUAGCUGGUCUGAGAGGAUGAUCAGCCACAAUAGGGACUGAGACACGGCCCAUACUCCUACGGGAGGCAGCAGUGGGGAAUUUUACGCAAUGGGCGAAAGCCUGACGUAGCGACACCGCGUGAGCGAAGAAGCCCCUUUGGGGUGUAAAGCUCUGUCAGCUGGACGAAAAAAAUGACGGUACCAGCAGAGGAAGCAUCGGCUAACUACGUG